Solanum stenotomum is the source of this 107-nucleotide small nuclear RNA. The record is from RefSeq and is a predicted model, not a curated record. Lineage: Eukaryota; Viridiplantae; Streptophyta; Magnoliopsida; Solanales; Solanaceae.
AAUCAAACAAUUAUUAUCAUCCGACAAAAUUGGAACGAUAUAGAGAAGAUCAGCAUGACUCCUACGCAAGAAUGAUACGCACAAAUUGAAAAAUGGUUCAAAUUUUU